CGUAUUAACACUGCGGCUGAUGAGGGCUGUUAAACCAACCAUCAGCCUCGCUGUCAAUACGAG
Molecule: microRNA precursor, 63 nt
Filed under: Patiria miniata (bat star)
Lineage: Eukaryota; Metazoa; Echinodermata; Asteroidea; Valvatida; Asterinidae
Description: Pmi-Mir-2008_pre stem-loop
Source: RNAcentral